GAUGAACGCUGGCGGCGUGCCUAAUACAUGCAAGUCGAGCGAACAGACGAGGAGCUUGCUCCUUUGACGUUAGCGGCGGACGGGUGAGUAACACGUAGAUAACCUACCUAUAAGACUGGGAUAACUUCGGGACACCGGAGCUAAUACCGGAUGAUAUUUCGAACCGCAUUGUUCGAUAGUAAAAGACGGCUUUUCUGUCACUUAUAGAUGGACCUGGGCGGUAUUAGCUAGUUGGUAAGGUAACGGCCUACCAAGGCAACGAUGCGUAGCCGACCUGACAGGGUGAUAGGCCACACUGGAGCUGAGACACGGUCCAGACUCCUACGGGAGGCAGCAGUAGGGAAUCUUCCGCAAUGGGCGAAAGCCUGACGGAGCAACGCCGCGUGAGUGAUGAAGGUCUUCGGAUCGUAAAAACCUGUUAUUAGUGAAGAACAGACGUGUAAGGAACUGUGCACGUCGUGACGGUACCUAAUAAGAAAGCCACGGCUAACUACGUG
RNAcentral lists this ribosomal RNA (497 nucleotides) under uncultured bacterium. RNAcentral describes it as "partial 16S ribosomal RNA". It matches the Rfam family "Bacterial small subunit ribosomal RNA", at positions 28 to 507 of the family's 1533-position model. The record is from RNAcentral.